Molecule: ribosomal RNA, 861 nt
Filed under: uncultured Actinomycetes bacterium
Lineage: Bacteria; Bacillati; Actinomycetota; Actinomycetes
Description: bacterial SSU rRNA
Rfam family: Bacterial small subunit ribosomal RNA
Source: RNAcentral
AGAGUUUGAGCCUGGCUCACGACGAACGCUGGCGGCGUGCUUAACACAUGCAAGUCGAGCGAUGAAACACCUUCAGGUGUGAAUUAGCGGCGAACGGGUGAGGAACACGUGAAGAAUCUGCCUUCAACUCUGGGAUAACUCCGGGAAACCGGGGCUAAUACCGGAUAUGAGCCUUGAUCGCAUGAUCGGGGCUGGAAAGUUUUUCGGUUGAUGAUGACUUCGCGGCCUAUCAGCUUGUUGGUGAGGUAAUGGCUCACCAAGGCGACGACGGGUAGCCGGCCUGAGAGGGCGACCGGCCACACUGGGACUGAGACACGGCCCAGACUCCUACGGGAGGCAGCAGUGGGGAAUAUUGGGCAAUGGAGGAAACUCUGACCCACCGACGCCGCGUGAGGGAUGAAGGCCUUCGGGUUGUAAACCUCUUUCAGUAGGGAAGAAGCGAAAGUGACGGUACCUACAAAAGAAGCACCGGCUAACUAUGUGCCAGCAGCCGCGGUAAUACAUACGGUGCAAGCGUUGUCCGGAAUUAUUGGGCGUAUAGAGCUCGUAGGUGGUUCGAUACGUCGGAUGUGAAAAUCAGGGGCUCAACCCCUGACCUGCAUCCGAUACGGUCGAGCUGGAGUUUGGUAGGGGAGACUGGAAUUCCUGGUGUAGCGGUGGAAUGCGCAGAUAUCAGGAGGAACACCGAUGGCGAAGCAGGUCUCUGGGCCAAUACUGACACUGANGAGCGAAAGCGUGCGGAGCGAACAGGAUUAGAUACCCUGGUAGUCCACGCCGUAACGGUGGGCACUAGUUGUGCGAACUUUCUCGGUUUGUGCGACGCAGCUAACGCUUAAGCGCUCCGCUGGGGGAGUACGAUCG